CCUGAGAAACCCAAAAGAUCGAAUGGGGAGAUUCAUCGUCAGCGAUGCUGGUACGUGUGCGGUUCGCGAUGCCGCCGAGACCUCGGUCUCGUGGCACGCGUCCGCAUGUUUUUCUUAUUGCCUGGCAUCGUCGGCGUGCACUUCUCCCCUAGUAGGACGUCGCGACCCGUUGGGUGUCGGUCUACGGCCCGGGUGGUAGACUGUCUCGUGUGCGCUUAAUCGCGUCACUGCGGGACAGACCCCCGGCUGCCCGACCGGCUGCCCGGCGGUACUCGCAAGGUAUCUGGCCGCAAAUAUUUGAACUGCGUCCGGCCCGUCGCAAGCGAGGCAAGUGUUUCCCGAAUGUCACGGAUCUGAUGCCGUCAUCGGGCCUGGCCAGCUGUUGGUUGACGGUGACCUAGGACUGGCCAUAAUUAUUAUGAUACCGGUCGGCGACGCUACUGCUUUGGUACUUUC
Molecule: ribosomal RNA, 456 nt
Filed under: Collyria coxator
Lineage: Eukaryota; Metazoa; Arthropoda; Insecta; Hymenoptera; Ichneumonidae
Description: eukaryotic LSU rRNA
Source: RNAcentral